AGUGAACGCUGGCGGUAGGCCUAACACAUGCAAGUCGAACGGCAGCACAGUAAGAGCUUGCUCUUACGGGUGGCGAGUGGCGGACGGGUGAGGAAUACAUCGGAAUCUACUUUUUCGUGGGGGAUAACGUAGCGAAACUUACGCUAAUACCGCAUACGACCUACGGGUGAAAGCAGGGGAUCUUCGGACCUUGCGCGAUUGAAUGAGCCGCUGUCGGAUUAGCUAGUUGGCGGGGUAAAGGCCCACCAAGGCGAGGAUCCGUAGCUGGUCUGAGAGGAUGAUCGGCCACACUGGAGCUGAGACACGGUCCAGACUCCUACGGGAGGGAGCAGUGGGGAAUAUUGGACAAUGGGCGCAAGCCUGAUCCAGCCAGACCGCGUGGGUGAAGAAGGCCUUCGGGUUGUAAAGCCCUUUUGUUGGGAAAGAAAAGCAGCAGGUUAAUACCCCGCUGUUCUGACGGUACCCAAAGAAUAAGCACCGGCUAACUUCGUG
Molecule: ribosomal RNA, 492 nt
Filed under: uncultured bacterium
Lineage: Bacteria
Description: partial 16S ribosomal RNA
Rfam family: Bacterial small subunit ribosomal RNA
Source: RNAcentral